This is a long non-coding RNA of Phyllopteryx taeniolatus (common seadragon), 2475 nucleotides long. RefSeq lists it as uncharacterized. NCBI's taxonomy places the organism in Eukaryota, Metazoa, Chordata, Actinopteri, Syngnathiformes, Syngnathidae. The transcript is spliced from 3 exons. The record is from RefSeq and is a predicted model, not a curated record.
CGUAAAGGGCAAUGUGUUUUUUGUCCUGACUUGUCAGGAGCAGCUGACUUCUUUGUUCUCCUCCAGUUUCAUGACCCCCAACCCCCUUCUUUCAUAAUGGCUCCUCAAAAAAAAAAAAGUGAUAGUAUGAGAUCUCCUUCCACACCCUUGUAGCUUCCAUUGUCUUCGAGCUGCAACCAGCUGUUGAGUUGCCCAUCACUGUAAACAUUCUAAAAUCUGACUUUUCUGGCUUUUACAUGCACAUGUGGCAUAUUUGUCUUUAUUUUCUCGAGAGAAAUUGACAAGGGAGGGCUUCCACAAUGGCUUCAAAUGUUGUCACCUUCAAAAUCUGCAAUUGCAAACUGCUUUGUCUUUGGAAUGAACAUUUUUUUGAAUUGAGAAGGCUUUCUGGAUAUCAUUAUCAUAUUUGAGCAAAGCACUUGCUAAACAACAAUAAAUGACAACCCAACCUAAUGAAAUAUAAAUGUGUGAACAUGCAAUCGCAUCCGGUUUAAACUUGGUUUGACAUUGAUCCGAUCCUACAUACACAUCGCAAAUGGAAGAAAGAAUCAAAUCAAUCAAAUAAUAAAUCACAAGCUGUAAAUACUGUAUAUGUUCACAUAGACAAACUACUCUGGAUAAAAACACAACCUCCCUGGGUGAGGUAAGAAUACAAAUCAAACAAUAUUUAAUAAAUGCAAAGCAAAGCUUAUUCCUUGAUGACAUCAAUGUCACUUACAAGUAUGAUGCAUUUAUUUGAAUGAUUAAUUUUCUACUUUGCUUUCGAUCUGUUUGUUGCUUUCAGUGAUGGUACAGUAGUGACGUGCUUCAAAUCAUGUAAAUGCUUCAUUCAGUCAUCAAGACAAUUGGCUUCUUUCAAUAGGAAGAAUCUUCUCUACAGCAGCAGGCGGGAUUAUUAGCUGCGAGCAGCAGCAUGACGCACAUUGAGUGCGACAGGAGGCCUCUACCCAGGCCUGCCGCCCAUUGAGUCUCAGGGCCUUCAACCUGUUGCCUGGCUUUUGUGAUGCCGCAGAAUGGGUGAACUUUAGUGCAUGGUGUACUGCUGUCAUGAUUGACAUAAAGAUCUAAUGAUUGCAUGAACAGUGACUGAAAAGCCGGCAAUGAUGGUGAGCAUGAAGGAAUGUGAAAGAAUGCAUGGUGAAUGGAUAAUGUUUUGUGAGACGUGCAGUAUGUAAGACAUUUGGGUCAGUGGCCAUAGUUCACUUAACCUGCUCAACUUAUGAAAACAUCUUUAGGGCCGCUUACAUGAGACUGAACGCAUAAAAAUGACAUUUUGGAGAGCUGUUGUCAAUCUUAUGUAAACACUAAAAUACAAAUCUGUUCUACAACUGAGCACAUUGUUGCGUUCAUUUAUGAAUGGCGAACACAGGGUUGUUGUUCUAGACCUUAAUGGGAUGGAUGGACGUUAAAUUCCAGUUGGAUGCUUUUUCGGGAUCAGAAAAAAACGGACGUGCUGUCAGAAAAAGGACGUUUGGUGGCAUUUUAUUACAUGAAGAAUCAGUAUUGUUUUGUGGCAACGUACUAACUUGUUCGACUCAAGCUCCCUUCCCCUUGGUCCAUCAUAAAGCUGGGAGUAUGUUAAACUGCUCAGGCGAUGUCGUCACUUUCUUUCUGUCAUUGCCUCUGCAAUUCCACUGAUGCACAAUUGAAAAUAGUCCACCUAUUACGGAGAGUAACGCAAGAGGAGUCUUCUUGAUAACAAAGGAGCGGUGUGAGUUAUGGCCACAAGGGCCGUGACUCAUCACUUAAUGGUGGCUGAACGCUUGGUACUUGGAGCUUAAUGGUGGCUGAACGCUUGGUACUUGGAGGAUGCCAUCUAAAACACAUCCUUACAAAGACUGCACACCAGGCUGUUAAUCACAGGAUUGACAACAUAAAUGGUUGAAAAGGAUUUGCGGCUAUUCUUUUAGUCAAGUUAUACAAUUGCAUAGAGCCUAGUUUCACACCUUUUUUCUUGCAGUACAUCUCAACUGUGACAAUCCUGAUGUGACAAACUAAAGUGUGGACCAGUCAUUCUCCGUGUGGUACAUUGACUCCCUUUUGAAAAAAGAAUCACUGCCUAAGUACAGUUCAGUUGUAUUUAAAGUGGCACUAAGCAGGCCCGAAAAAUGUCAUGUAAAUUCGACACACCACAGAGAAGAGUAAUGGUAACAAGCCUACCAAAUUUGAAUGAAUUAAAAAAUAAACAAACAAACAAAAAAUAGCUAAGUAUAUAAAAGUAGGUUUCAAAACUUGAAUAGUAAGGGCCACCUCUCAGCUCUCAAAUGGUGUGGGGUUAGAUAGCUUAUACAAUGUAAAAUCACACUAGCAGGCUCAACUUAAAAAUUGAAUGGUUAUUGUGGACUAUAAUCAUAAAAAUAAGCACACGUCAACGUAACUUUGUACUUAUAUAGGAGGGAAGGAACUCGCAUUAGAAAGUAUACGCCCCAGCCACGUGACGCCACAGGUUAAUGAUUAUUUGCUAAAAACAAUAUC